RNAcentral lists this microRNA precursor (91 nucleotides) under Canis lupus familiaris (dog). Its description in RNAcentral is "mir-8799 microRNA precursor family". It matches the Rfam family "mir-8799 microRNA precursor family". RNAcentral also lists the same sequence under 1 other name. The record is from Rfam by way of RNAcentral. Lineage: Eukaryota; Metazoa; Chordata; Mammalia; Carnivora; Canidae.
GGGGGGAGGCGGGAUCCUGGGCUGUGUCCCCAGCGCCCAGUGCUCCUGGGCCUGCGCUGUUGGAUUCGGGCUCCCGGUCGCGCAGCCCCCU